Daucus carota subsp. sativus is the source of this 1178-nucleotide RNA transcript. RefSeq lists it as uncharacterized. Lineage: Eukaryota; Viridiplantae; Streptophyta; Magnoliopsida; Apiales; Apiaceae. The record is from RefSeq and is a predicted model, not a curated record. The transcript has 8 exons.
CUUCGCGUGCCAAAAACCUCUCCCUUAUUGCACUUCUUCCUCUCUAUCUGAUAGUUUGCAUCAGUUUUGCUUUCAAGUUUCAUUAAUUGUGUAAAUUCGGGCAUAAUUCAUAAUUCAUAAUUAAUGAUAGAUAUUCUGUCAUGGCUUACAGCUAGCUAAUCGUUGUGUGAACUCUAAAAUUAAGAAUUUUCCUCCGUAUGAAGCCACAAGAUCUUGAUUUGUGCAAAUAAUCUAAUGUUUAUACGUUUGCUUGCAGGCUUUUACAGAGGAUGCUGCAAGAAUGUUUCAAAAAAAAUCGAGGAGCGAGUUUAUGAUAAUUCUAAUGAGGCGAAUAUGUACAAGUUAUCUCCCUGCAAUUAGAUUGUUUUGAUAUUUGAUUGUUUCUUCAUCACAUUGGACACUUUAUACAGUGAUCAAGGUGUUACUUUUUUUUGCCUUAUUGUAGAGUUUCUGCUUUCCGAAGAAAUGUUGUGUGAAAAUAUGAGUGUGACCGGAAUGUCAAGGUAGGCAGGGGCAGCCAAGAGCCAAUUGUCAAAAACCUUUUGCAUGGCUGAUUGUCAAAAACUAUGCAGAUUUGGGGGAAAGUUUGAACCCUCCAUUUUUCGUGAUAAAAAAUAAUGAGGAAUUAAUAUCAUGCUCAUUAAAUCAAGAAAUAAAGAAGUCAAUGUUUGCCAAUUACACACCAGGGUUUGUGUUUGCUUCUAAGGCUUGGUCUAUUUGGAUCCAUCAUGCGCCAAUUACUUGCUAAUUAUAUCUGACUGAUUCUCUUAUUUAUAAUGUCCUCCAGCAUGCUAUGCCAAAGCUUUGUGCCAAUUGUUCAUGAACUUGCCAGUGCAAGGCAUAAAAACCUUUUGUGGUAUUCCAGUUAAAGUCCAGGCCGGUGUCAUUUGUUGAAAGCUUGGUGACAGAAGAUUUUAAUUGAGAUUUGGUGAAUUUGAUCAGGGGAGAAAAGGUUGGGAGGAGAUUGAGAUUAGUAGAUUACCAUUUUCAAGUCUGUUGAUUCGGCUCUUGUGGAUCUUCUAUGCGCUUAAUCAGUGUAUGAGAGUAACAAGAAUGCUCCAGCUUCAUCAACAUAAAUAGUUUUUAGUUUUGUAGGGGUAUCUGCUAUCUGGAGUGUAUAUGCUUCAUAUUUCUGUUUAACAUUUAAUAAAUCAUGAAUAAUCAUGUUGAGUUUUGCA